AAGGGAGACCUAAUUCAGGUAGGAGACGAAAAAAAGUAGUCCCUACCAAGAAUCAAUCCCAAAGGGUCGGAGCGAGGCAAAAUUGGCUUUCAAACUAGGUUCUGGGUUCACAUAAGACCUGAAUCAGGAACAAGGGCUAUUAGCUCAGGUGGUUAGAGCGCACCCCUGAUAAGGGUGAGGUCCCUGGUUCGAGUCCAGGAUGGCCCACCUGCACAGGUGGCAAAAACAAAGAAAAGAAGCUCCGAAUCAGCACCUUAUCUUACUCAUAUAGUAAGUAAGAGAGAAUGCUGGCUCUGAGUUCAGAGUCCAGAGGAACCUUGAAAACUGCAUAGAGCUAGGUGAAAAAGCCAAAAAAGAAGACCGCAA
This 366-nucleotide transfer RNA is filed under the name uncultured Microcystis sp. RNAcentral's name for it is "partial miscellaneous RNA". The stretch from base 134 to 207 matches the Rfam family "tRNA". Lineage: Bacteria; Bacillati; Cyanobacteriota; Cyanophyceae; Chroococcales; Microcystaceae. The record is from RNAcentral.